UGUGACGUUUCUGAGUGUAGUGUGGUA
Molecule: non-coding RNA, 27 nt
Filed under: Macaca fascicularis (crab-eating macaque)
Lineage: Eukaryota; Metazoa; Chordata; Mammalia; Primates; Cercopithecidae
Also listed under: 1 other name
Source: RNAcentral